Long non-coding RNA from Lycium barbarum (goji berry), 765 nucleotides. RefSeq lists it as uncharacterized. The record is from RefSeq and is a predicted model, not a curated record. Lineage: Eukaryota; Viridiplantae; Streptophyta; Magnoliopsida; Solanales; Solanaceae. The transcript has 3 exons.
ACAAAUUUAUAAACUUCGAAAAAAAUUAAACUAUAAAUAACAUAAGUUAUAAUAUAUAAGUUAUAAGUAUAUAUAUGUAAUAUCCCAUAUUUAAGUGUAGGUAUUUAAUUAAUAAAACUUAAAAAAAAAAAAAGAAUAAAGGGCAUGUGGGCCGCAACCCUUGAUGAAGAAAAAAGAGAGCCCCACAGCCCAUUAAAACGUGAAUAAACAGAGAAGGGCAUAGACUGAAAAUAGUCUGCCAGCCACCUUAGAAAGAAAAAAAAAACCCAGCAAACAAAACGUGAGGUUCUGCCACUUUCAAGUGAAGAAGCACAAAGGGAAUUCAAGCACAGAUAAAUAAUAAGGAUAGGAGGAGAAAAGAAAGAUUGAUCGAAGGAAGUGGUACGGAAUUGCGUGGUGACGAGUCUGGUAUUUCGACACGAGUACUAGACCGCAGGUGACGUUGGUGAGGAUUACGGUAACUAGAGAGCACGAGUUGAAAGUUCCUGGUGAGCCCCGCACUUGUCCGCGUGGGCCAAGAUUCUAUUAUCUAUGAUGGUCUUUUCUUUUGAAUUCUUAGAGUUGCUCCAUAGUCAUUUGAUUUAUUCCAUGAGUAUUCUUUAUUCAUUAUAGAUUGGUGACUAGUUCGUAUUUCAGAGAUGUUUUAGUUUUAUUACGUUGAAAUCGGGUUGAUUGAGGAUGAUUGCAUUUAGUUUGGUUGACAUUGGAUAUUUUUGUUGUUGAUUUUGAGACAGGAAAGUUUUGGAUAGUCAUAAAAACAGGGGA